CAGCAGCCGCGGGAAUACAGAGGGUGCGAGCGUUAAUCGGAUUUACUGGGCGUAAAGCGUGCGUAGGCGGCUUCUUAAGUCGGAUGUGAAAUCCCUGAGCUUAACUUGGGAAUUGCAUUCGAUACUGGUUAGCUAGAGUGUGGGAGAGGAUGGUAGAAUUCCAGGUGUAGCGGUGAAAUGCGUAGAGAUCUGGAGGAAUACCGAUGGCGAAGGCAGCCAUCUGGCCUAACACUGACGCUGAGGUACGAAAGCAUGGGGAGCAAACAGGAUUAGAUACCCCCGUAGUCCCUGUCCUUAUACA
This 301-nucleotide ribosomal RNA is filed under the name uncultured bacterium. Its description in RNAcentral is "partial 16S ribosomal RNA". It matches the Rfam family "Bacterial small subunit ribosomal RNA", at positions 509 to 809 of the family's 1533-position model. The record is from RNAcentral.